RNAcentral lists this ribosomal RNA (145 nucleotides) under Pseudocercospora eucalyptorum. RNAcentral describes it as "partial 18S ribosomal RNA". It matches the Rfam family "Eukaryotic small subunit ribosomal RNA", at positions 1688 to 1830 of the family's 1831-position model. Lineage: Eukaryota; Fungi; Ascomycota; Dothideomycetes; Mycosphaerellales; Mycosphaerellaceae. The record is from RNAcentral. RNAcentral also lists the same sequence under 3 other names.
AUUGAAUGGCUCAGUGAGGCCUUCGGACUGGCCCAGGGAGGUCGGCAACGACCACCCAGGGCCGGAAAGUUGGUCAAACUCGGUCAUUUAGAGGAAGUAAAAGUCGUAACAAGGUCUCCGUAGGUGAACCUGCGGAGGGAUCAUU